AUGGUCGUCCUCGUCGCGGCGACGGCGCAGGCGGUGUGCGACAUGGACAACGACGACUUCAUGGCGUGCCAGCCGGCGGCGGCGGCGACGACGGACCCGCAGCCGGCGCCGUCGGAGGCGUGCUGCGCGACGCUGGGGAAGGCGGACCUGCGGUGCCUCUGCUCCUACAAGAACUCCCCCUGGCUCAGCCUCUACAACAUCGACCCCAAGCGCGCCAUGGAGCUGCCGGCCAAGUGCGGCCUCACCACGCCGCCCGACUGCUAG
Molecule: ribosomal RNA, 264 nt
Filed under: Triticum aestivum (bread wheat)
Lineage: Eukaryota; Viridiplantae; Streptophyta; Magnoliopsida; Poales; Poaceae
Description: partial small subunit ribosomal RNA
Source: RNAcentral